AGAGUUUGAUCAUGGCUCAGAUUGAACGCUGGCGGCAGGCCUAACACAUGCAAGUCGAGCGGUAGCACAGGAGAGCUUGCUCUCUGGGUGACGAGCGGCGGACGGGUGAGUAAUGUCUGGGAAACUGCCUGAUGGAGGGGGAUAACUACUGGAAACGGUAGCUAAUACCGCAUAACGUCUUCGGACCAAAGUGGGGGACCUUCGGGCCUCACGCCAUCAGAUGUGCCCAGAUGGGAUUAGCUAGUAGGUGGGGUAAUGGCUCACCUAGACGACGAUCCCUAGCUGGUCUGAGAGGAUGACCAGCCACACUGGAACUGAGACACGGUCCAGACUCCUACGGGAGGCAGCAGUGGGGAAUAUUGCACAAUGGGCGCAAGCCUGAUGCAGCCAUGCCGCGUGUGUGAAGAAGGCCUUCGGGUUGUAAAGCACUUUCAGCGAGGAGGAAGGGUAGUGUGUUAAUAGCACAUUGCAUUGACGUUACUCGCAGAAGAAGCACCGGCUAACUCCGUGCCAGCAGCCGCGGUAAUACGGAGGGUGCAAGCGUUAAUCGGAAUUACUGGGCGUAAAGCGCACGCAGGCGGUUUGUUAAGUCAGAUGUGAAAUCCCCGCGCUUAACGUGGGAACUGCAUUUGAAACUGACAAGCUAGAGUCUUGUAGAGGGGGGUAGAAUUCCAGGUGUAGCGGUGAAAUGCGUAGAGAUCUGGAGGAAUACCGGUGGCGAAGGCGGCCCCCUGGACAAAGACUGACGCUCAGGUGCGAAAGCGUGGGGAGCAAACAGGAUUAGAUACCCCGGUAGUCCAA
Molecule: ribosomal RNA, 801 nt
Filed under: uncultured bacterium
Lineage: Bacteria
Description: bacterial SSU rRNA
Rfam family: Bacterial small subunit ribosomal RNA
Source: RNAcentral